Molecule: ribosomal RNA, 253 nt
Filed under: uncultured bacterium
Lineage: Bacteria
Description: partial 16S ribosomal RNA
Rfam family: Bacterial small subunit ribosomal RNA
Source: RNAcentral
UACGAGUGCUUCGAGCGUUAUCCGGAAUCAUUGGGCGUAAAGGGCUCGUAGGCGGCCAACUAAGUCAGACGUGAAAUCCCUCAGCUUAACUGGGGAACUGCGUCUGAUACUGGAUGGCUUGGAUUCGGGAGAGGAAUGCGGAAUUCCAGGUGUAGCGGUGAAAUGCGUAGAUAUCAGGAAGAACACCCGUGGCGAAGGCGGCUUUCUGGGACGGUACUGACGCUGAGACGCGAAAGCGUGGGGAGCGAACAGG